UGAGGGAUAUUGGUCAAUGGGCGCAAGCCUGAACCAGCGACGCCGCGUGGGUGAAGAAGGUCUUCGGAUCGUAAAGCCCUUUUCCCACUGAAGAGGAAGGACGGUAGGUGGGGAAGAAGUCUCGGCUAACUACGUGCCAACAGCCGCGGUAAAACGUAGGAGGCGAGCGUUAUCCGGAUUUACUGGGCGUAAAGCGCGUGCAGGCGGAUUGGAGAGUUGGAUGUGAAAGCUCCCGGCUUAACUGGGAGAGGUCGUUCAAUACUUCCAGUCUUGAGUGCAGUAGAGGGAAGUGGAAUUCCGGGUGUAGUGGUGAAAUGCGUAGAUAUCCGGAGGAACACCAGUGGCGAAAGCGGCUUCCUGGACUGUAACUGACGCUCAGACGCGAAAGCUAGGGUAGCAAACG
This 403-nucleotide ribosomal RNA is filed under the name uncultured bacterium. RNAcentral describes it as "bacterial SSU rRNA". It matches the Rfam family "Bacterial small subunit ribosomal RNA", at positions 355 to 774 of the family's 1533-position model. The record is from RNAcentral.